UCGUCACAUUCUUUUAGAUGUUUCAAAGCCC
Molecule: non-coding RNA, 31 nt
Filed under: Rattus norvegicus (Norway rat)
Lineage: Eukaryota; Metazoa; Chordata; Mammalia; Rodentia; Muridae
Source: RNAcentral